Molecule: transfer RNA, 74 nt
Filed under: Aquabacterium commune
Lineage: Bacteria; Pseudomonadati; Pseudomonadota; Betaproteobacteria; Burkholderiales; Sphaerotilaceae
Rfam family: tRNA
About the family: Transfer RNA (tRNA) molecules are approximately 80 nucleotides in length.
Source: Rfam by way of RNAcentral
GGGUCGGUAGCUCAGUUGGUUAGAGCAGCGGACUUUUAAUCCGUUGGUCGAGGGUUCGAGUCCCUCCCGACCCA